Octodon degus (degu) is the source of this 139-nucleotide small nuclear RNA. RefSeq annotates it as U4 spliceosomal RNA. The transcript has a single exon. The record is from RefSeq and is a predicted model, not a curated record. NCBI's taxonomy places the organism in Eukaryota, Metazoa, Chordata, Mammalia, Rodentia, Octodontidae.
AGCUUUGCGCAGUGGCAGUAUUGUAGCCAACGAGGUUUAUCUGAGGUGCAAUUAUUGCUAAUUGAAAACUUUUUCCAAAAUGUUAACUUUUCAUUUACCUUUGGGGAUAAGCCAGAAGUUACGUGGUGCUAGAUCUGGU